AAAAAUUUAGUUAAAUCUAUAACAUCAAUUUGUCAAAUUGAAAUUAAUAUUAAAAUUAAUUUUUU
This 65-nucleotide transfer RNA is filed under the name Lymexylon navale. RNAcentral's name for it is "tRNA-Asp". Lineage: Eukaryota; Metazoa; Arthropoda; Insecta; Coleoptera; Lymexylidae. The record is from RNAcentral.